This 520-nucleotide unclassified non-coding RNA is filed under the name uncultured Glomus. RNAcentral's name for it is "SSU rRNA". It matches the Rfam family "Eukaryotic small subunit ribosomal RNA", at positions 569 to 1091 of the family's 1831-position model. Lineage: Eukaryota; Fungi; Glomeromycota; Glomeromycetes; Glomerales; Glomeraceae. The record is from RNAcentral.
AGCAGCCGCGGUAAUUCCAGCUCCAAUAGCGUAUAUUAAAGUUGCUGCAGUUAAAAAGCUCGUAGUUGAAUUUCGGGACCAUCAUGUUGGUCGUGCCUCGGUACGUACUGGCAUUGUUGGUUUCUCCCUUCUGACGAACCAUGAUGUCAUUUAUUUGGUGUCGUGGGAAAUCAGGACUGUUACUUUGAAAAAAUUAGAGUGUUUAAAGCAGGCUCACGCUUGAAUACAUUAGCAUGGAAUAAUGAAAUAGGACGUUUGAUUCUAUUUUGUUGGUUUCUAGGAUCGACGUAAUGAUUAAUAGGGAUAGUUGGGGGCAUUAGUAUUCAAUUGUCAGAGGUGAAAUUCUUGGAUUUAUUGAAGACUAACUACUGCGAAAGCAUUUGCCAAGGAUGUUUUCAUUAAUCAAGAACGAAAGUUAGGGGAUCGAAGACGAUCAGAUACCGUCGUAGUCUUAACCAUAAACUAUGCCGACUAGGGAUCGGAUGAUGUUAAUUUUUUAAUGACCCAUUCGGCGCCUUAC